Hippoglossus stenolepis (Pacific halibut) is the source of this 140-nucleotide small nuclear RNA. RefSeq annotates it as U4 spliceosomal RNA. Lineage: Eukaryota; Metazoa; Chordata; Actinopteri; Pleuronectiformes; Pleuronectidae. The record is from RefSeq and is a predicted model, not a curated record. The transcript has a single exon.
AUCCCUUCGCAGUGGCAGUAUCGUGAGCCUAUGAGGUCAAUCUGAGGUGAUUAUUGCUAGUUGAAACUUUAAUUCAAUUCCCCACUUUGAAUACCUGAAAUAUAGUCGGCAAUGGUACUUUUUGAUGGUCUCUAUGGAGA